CAGAUAUUAGUUUAUAAAAAUAUUAAUUUUGGAGAUUAAAGAUGGGAAUAUUUUCUUGUAUCUGA
RNAcentral lists this transfer RNA (65 nucleotides) under Crepidodera pluta. RNAcentral's name for it is "tRNA-Pro". Lineage: Eukaryota; Metazoa; Arthropoda; Insecta; Coleoptera; Chrysomelidae. The record is from RNAcentral.